RNAcentral lists this ribosomal RNA (407 nucleotides) under uncultured Bacilli bacterium. RNAcentral's name for it is "bacterial SSU rRNA". It matches the Rfam family "Bacterial small subunit ribosomal RNA", at positions 342 to 741 of the family's 1533-position model. The record is from RNAcentral. Lineage: Bacteria; Bacillati; Bacillota; Bacilli.
CGGGAGGCAGCAGUAGGGAAUCUUCGGCAAUGGACGAAAGUCUGACCGAGCAACGCCGCGUGAGUGAAGAAGGUUUUCGGAUCGUAAAACUCUGUUGUUAGAGAAGAACAAGGAUGAGAGUAACUGUUCAUCCCUUGACGGUAUCUAACCAGAAAGCCACGGCUAACUACGUGCCAGCAGCCGCGGUAAUACGUAGGUGGCAAGCGUUGUCCGGAUUUAUUGGGCGUAAAGCGAGCGCAGGCGGUUUCUUAAGUCUGAUGUGAAAGCCCCCGGCUCAACCGGGGAGGGUCAUUGGAAACUGGGAGACUUGAGUGCAGAAGAGGAGAGUGGAAUUCCAUGUGUAGCGGUGAAAUGCGUAGAUAUAUGGAGGAACACCAGUGGCGAAGGCGGCUCUCUGGUCUGUAACU